RNAcentral lists this ribosomal RNA (1200 nucleotides) under Bacteroides xylanisolvens. RNAcentral describes it as "partial 23S ribosomal RNA". It matches the Rfam family "Bacterial large subunit ribosomal RNA", at positions 1 to 1208 of the family's 2925-position model. Lineage: Bacteria; Pseudomonadati; Bacteroidota; Bacteroidia; Bacteroidales; Bacteroidaceae. The record is from RNAcentral.
AAGAAAGUAAGCAAGGGCGCAUGGCGGAUGCCUUGGCUCUCGGAGGCGAUGAAGGACGUGAUAAGCUGCGAUAAGCUUCGGGAAGGUGCAAAUAACCUUUGAUCCGAAGAUUUCCGAAUGGGACAACCCGGCAUUCUGAAGGAAUGUCAUCUUGCAUAGCAAGAGGCUAACGCAGGGAACUGAAACAUCUUAGUACCUGCAGGAAAAGAAAAUAAUAAUGAUUCCCCAAGUAGUGGCGAGCGAACGGGGAUUAGCCCAAACCAAUGUUGUUACGGCAAUAUUGGGGUUGUAGGACCACGAUGUCGCAAGAAAUUUAGUGAGAAGAACCCUUUGGAAAAUGGGACCAUAGACGGUGAUAGUCCGGUAUUCGAAGCUAAACGAAGCGUAGUGGUAUCCUGAGUAGCGCGGGACACGAGGAAUCUUGCGUGAAUCUGCCGGGACCAUCCGGUAAGGCUAAAUACUCCCGAGAGACCGAUAGCGAACCAGUACUGUGAAGGAAAGGUGAAAAGCACUUCGAAUAGAAGAGUGAAAUAGUCCCUGAAACCGUGCGCCUACAAGCGGUCGGAGCAGCGUAAGUUGUGACGGCGUGCCUUUUGCAUAAUGAACCUACGAGUUACUUUUUCCGGCAAGGUUAAGCAUUUUAAAAUGUGUAGCCGAAGCGAAAGCGAGUCUGAACAGGGCGAUUAGUCGGAAGGAGUAGACGCGAAACCAAGUGAUCUACCCUUGGUCAGGUUGAAGGUUAGGUAACACUAACUGGAGGACCGAACCGAUAAGCGUUGAAAAGCUUCCGGAUGAACUGAGGGUGGGGGUGAAAGGCUAAUCAAACUUGGAGAUAGCUCGUACUCCCCGAAAUGCAUUUAGGUGCAGCCUUGGGAAUUACUACUGUGAGGUAGAGCGACUGAUAAGAUGCGAGGGCUUCACCGCCUAUCAAGUCUUGAUAAACUCCGAAUGCGCAGUAGUUCGAUCCCAGGAGUGAGGGCAUGGGUGCUAAGGUCCAUGUCCUAAAGGAGAAGAAUCCGGACCAUCAGCUAAGGUCCCGAAAUAAUUGCUAAGUUGAACUAACGAAGUCAGAUUGCUAAGACAGCUAGGAUGUUGGCUUGGAAGCAGCCAUUCAUUUAAAGAGUGCGUAACAGCUCACUAGUCGAGGAGUUUGGCGUGGAUAAUAAUCGGGCAUUAAGCAAUUUACCGAAGCUAUGGGAU